UAUGGCCAUGCCACUCUGAAUGUACCCGAUCCUGUAUGAUCUCAGAAGCUAAGCAGGGUCGAGCCUGGUUAGUACUUGGAUGAGAGACCACCUGGAAAGAAAGAAAUGGCCAAUU
Molecule: ribosomal RNA, 115 nt
Filed under: Pteropus alecto (black flying fox)
Lineage: Eukaryota; Metazoa; Chordata; Mammalia; Chiroptera; Pteropodidae
Source: RNAcentral